AUGGUAGGACUUCACUUCCUGGCUCACCUGUAGCUGAAUGGGGCCUGUGACUACUUUUAGCCAUCAAAUUAUGACUUCUGGGCUGAAGCAUUUAAUCAUCCGGUACAAGAUCCUCCAGAAAUCUGUUUUCCUCUGGCAUGGCAGCACCAAUAUUUAAGGUUAUGUUUGCUCCAUCAGCCUGGGUCCCUGAAUAACCACGUGGAGCAGAGGUUCUUUCCUGGCACGAACUGGACAUAUAACUGAUCAGUGAAAAGUAGCUGUACGACCUCACUGAAAUGCAAAGAGCUGCGGGAUGUAGUCUAACUCUGCCCAGAAGAAGAGGGAAAUGUGGAUAUUGCCUUCAGGGCUGCUUACAGAUAUCCAGUUCUCUCUUCCUGAAUACAUGACAGGAUGGCACUUUGGGGUCCCGUCUGCUUCCUGGAGACCAGGGGCCCACGUCUCAGCGUUGCCCCGAUGGCCAAAGCAGGACUGAGUCCUAGACUCUAAUAGGGUGAGGCUUCUUUGUGUCA
Molecule: non-coding RNA, 509 nt
Organism: Miniopterus natalensis
Lineage: Eukaryota; Metazoa; Chordata; Mammalia; Chiroptera; Miniopteridae
Source: RefSeq, a predicted model, not a curated record